CCUGCUGUACGACCAGCAGUAGCCUAGGAAGACAUGCGUCACUGGUAACGGUGGGGUGUGAAGCUCUUCUAACAACGUAGCCCCCGGAAGUUUCGGGCACGUGAACGCCGCGAGGCGCAGCGUGGAGGCCCCCCAGCAGCGGGGGGCGCGGAGC
RNAcentral lists this non-coding RNA (154 nucleotides) under Paraburkholderia tropica. Lineage: Bacteria; Pseudomonadati; Pseudomonadota; Betaproteobacteria; Burkholderiales; Burkholderiaceae. The record is from RNAcentral.